Molecule: ribosomal RNA, 460 nt
Filed under: uncultured Methylomirabilota bacterium
Lineage: Bacteria; Methylomirabilota (SeqCode)
Description: bacterial SSU rRNA
Rfam family: Bacterial small subunit ribosomal RNA
Source: RNAcentral
GGGCUUGACAUCCCACGAAUCUCGCCGAAAGGCGGGAGUGCCCGCAAGGGAGCGCGGAGACAGGUGGUGCAUGGCUGUCGUCAGCUCGUGUCGUGAGAUGUUGGGUUAAGUCCCGCAACGAGCGCAACCCUCACCUCUUGUUGCCACCAGGUCAUGCUGGGCACUCUAGAGGAACUGCCCCGGUCAACGGGGAGGAAGGCGGGGAUGACGUCAAGUCAUCAUGCCCCUUACGUCCUGGGCUACACACGUGCUACAAUGGCCGGUACAAAGGGAUGCCACACCGCGAGGUAGAGCUAAACCCAAAAAGCCGGUCUAAGUUCAGAUUGAAGUCUGCAACUCGACUCCAUGAAGGAGGAAUCGCUAGUAAUCGCGUAUCAGCACGACGCGGUGAAUACGUUCCCGGGCCUUGUACACACCGCCCGUCACACCACGAAAGCCCGUUGUACUCGAAGUCGCUGAG